GUGCGCUUAGCUCAGCUGGAUAGAGCGUCUGACUACGGAUCAGAAGGCCGGGAGUUCGAAUCUUCUAGCGCACG
This 74-nucleotide transfer RNA is filed under the name Lachnospiraceae bacterium. RNAcentral's name for it is "tRNA-Arg". It matches the Rfam family "tRNA". From Rfam's summary of the family: Transfer RNA (tRNA) molecules are approximately 80 nucleotides in length. Their secondary structure includes four short double-helical elements and three loops (D, anti-codon, and T loops). Lineage: Bacteria; Bacillati; Bacillota; Clostridia; Lachnospirales; Lachnospiraceae. The record is from RNAcentral.